This 492-nucleotide ribosomal RNA is filed under the name uncultured bacterium. RNAcentral's name for it is "partial 16S ribosomal RNA". It matches the Rfam family "Bacterial small subunit ribosomal RNA", at positions 29 to 507 of the family's 1533-position model. The record is from RNAcentral.
AGUGAACGCUGGCGGUAGGCCUAACACAUGCAAGUCGAACGGCAGCACAGUAAGAGCUUGCUCUUACGGGUGGCGAGUGGCGGACGGGUGAGGAAUACAUCGGAAUCUACUUUUUCGUGGGGGAUAACGUAGGGAAACUUACGCUAAUACCGCAUACGACCUACGGGUGAAAGCAGGGGAUCUUCGUACCUUGCGCGAUUGAAUGAGCCGAUGUCGGAUUAGCUAGUUGGCGGGGUAAAGGCCCACCAAGGCGACGAUCCGUAGCUGGUCUGAGAGGAUGAUCAGCCACACUGGAACUGAGACACGGUCCAGACUCCUACGGGAGGCAGCAGUGGGGAAUAUUGGACAAUGGGCGCAAGACUGAUCCAGCCAUACCGCGUGGGUGAAGAAGGCCUUCGGGUUGUAAAGCCCUUUUGUUGGGAAAGAAAAGCAGCAGGUUAAUACCCCGCUGUUCUGACGGUACCCAAAGAAUAAGCACCGGCUAACUUCGUG